GGGGCUGAUUCUGGAUUCGACGGGAUUUGCGAAACCCAAGGUGCAUGCCGAGGGGCGGUUGGCCUCGUAAAAAGCCGCAAAAAAAUAGUCGCAAACGACGAAAACUACGCUUUAGCAGCUUAAUAACCUGCUUAGAGCCCUCUCUCCCUAGCCUCCGCUCUUAGGACGGGGAUCAAGAGAGGUCAAACCCAAAAGAGAUCGCGCGGAUACCCUGCCUGGGGUUGAAGCGUUAAAACGAAUCAGGCUAGUCUGGUAGUGGCGUGUCCGUCCGCAGGUGCCAGGCGAAUGUAAAGACUGACUAAGCAUGUAGUACCGAGGAUGUAGGAAUUUCGGACGCGGGUUCAACUCCCGCCAGCUCCACCA
RNAcentral lists this transfer-messenger RNA (363 nucleotides) under Salmonella enterica subsp. enterica serovar Derby. It matches the Rfam family "transfer-messenger RNA". Rfam says of the family: Bacterial tmRNA, also known as 10Sa RNA or SsrA, is named for its dual tRNA and mRNA-like properties. RNAcentral also lists the same sequence under 40 other names. Lineage: Bacteria; Pseudomonadati; Pseudomonadota; Gammaproteobacteria; Enterobacterales; Enterobacteriaceae. The record is from RNAcentral.